This 992-nucleotide ribosomal RNA is filed under the name Streptomyces sp. RNAcentral's name for it is "bacterial SSU rRNA". The record is from RNAcentral. Lineage: Bacteria; Bacillati; Actinomycetota; Actinomycetes; Kitasatosporales; Streptomycetaceae.
GAUGAGCCCGCGGCCUAUCAGCUGUUGGUGGGGAAAUGAGAACGGACACAAGGCGACGACGGGUAGCCGGCCUGAGAGGGCGAUCGGCCACACUGGGACUGAGACACGGCCCAGACUCCUUCUUUUUUGCAGCCCCCCCCCCACUAUUGGACAAUGGGCGAAAGCCUGAGGCAGCGACGCCGCGUGAGGGAUGACGGCCUUCGGGUUGUAAACCUCUUUCAGCAGGGAAGAACGAAAGUGACGGUCCUGCAGAAGAAGCGCCGGCUAACUACGUGCCAGCAGCCGCGGKAAUACGUAGGGCGCACGCGUUGUCCGGAAUUAUUGGGCGUAAAGAGCUCGUAGGCGGCUUGUCACGUCGGAUGUGAAAGCCCGGGGSUUWACCCCGGGUCUGCWUUCGAUACGGGCUAGCUAGAGUGUGGUAGGGGAGAUCGGAAUUCCUGGUGUAGCGGUGAAAUGCGCAGAUAUCAGGAGGAACACCGGUGGCGAAGGCGGAUCUCUGGGCCAUUACUGACGCUGAGGAGCGAAAGCGUGGGGAGCGAACAGGAUUAGAUACCCUGGUAGUCCACGCCGUAAACGUUGGGAACUAGGUGUUGGCGACAUUCCACGUCGUCGGUGCCGCAGCUAACGCAUUAAGUUCCCCGCCUGGGGAGUACGGCCGCAAGGCUAAAACUCAAAGGAAUUGACGGGGGCCCGCACAAGCAGCGGAGCAUGUGGCUUAAUUCGACGCAACGCGAAGAACCUUACCAAGGCUUGACAUAUACCGGAAAGCAUCAGAGAUGGUGCCCCCCUUGUGGUCGGUAUACAGGUGGUGCAUGGCGUCGUCAGCUCGUGUCGUGAGAUGUUGGGUUGGGGUGCGGGGCAACGAGCACAACCCUUGUUCUGUGUUGCCAGCAUGCCCUUCGGGGUGAUGGGGACUCACAGGAGACUGCCGGGGUCAACUCGGAGGAAGGUGGGGACGACGUCAAGUCAUCAUGCCCCUUAUGUCUUGGGCU